GAUGAAGAACGCAGCGAAAUGCGAUACGUAAUGUGAAUUGCAAAUUCAGUGAAUCAUCGAGUCUUUGAACGCACAUUGCGCCGCCUGGUAUUCCGGGGGGCAUGCCUGUCCGAGCGUCAUUGCUGCCCUCAAGCACGGCUUGUGUGUUGGGCCCCGUCCUCCGAUCCCGGGGGACGGGCCCGAAAGGCAGCGGCGGCACCGCGUCCGGUCCUCGAGCGUAUGGGGCUUUGUCACCCGCUCUGUAGGCCCGGCCGGCGCUUGCCGAUCAACCCAAAUUUUUAUCCAGGUUGACCUCGGAUCAGGUAGGGAUACCCGCUGAACUUAAGCAUAUCAAUAAGCGGAGGA
This 345-nucleotide unclassified non-coding RNA is filed under the name soil metagenome. RNAcentral's name for it is "partial contains 5.8S ribosomal RNA, internal transcribed spacer 2, and large subunit ribosomal RNA". The stretch from base 1 to 119 matches the Rfam family "5.8S ribosomal RNA", at positions 35 to 154 of the family's 154-position model. The record is from RNAcentral.